UAUGCUUUGGGUAGCUGUACGUAAGCUAUGAUCCAGAUAUUUACGAAUGGGGGAACCCAACAUCUUUAAUAGGAUGUUACGAUUGUGUGAAUACAUAGCACAUUCGAUGUAGACGCAGAGAACUGAAACAUCUAAGUACCUUCAGGAAGAGAAAGAAAAUUCGAUUCCCUGAGUAGCGGCGAGCGAAACGUGAAAAGCCCAAACCAGCAAGCUUGCUUGUUGGGGUUGUAGGACUCCAA
RNAcentral lists this ribosomal RNA (239 nucleotides) under Enterococcus faecium. RNAcentral's name for it is "partial 23S ribosomal RNA". It matches the Rfam family "Bacterial large subunit ribosomal RNA", at positions 72 to 311 of the family's 2925-position model. Lineage: Bacteria; Bacillati; Bacillota; Bacilli; Lactobacillales; Enterococcaceae. The record is from RNAcentral.